Molecule: long non-coding RNA, 795 nt
Organism: Aplysia californica (California sea hare)
Lineage: Eukaryota; Metazoa; Mollusca; Gastropoda; Aplysiida; Aplysiidae
Exons: 4
Source: RefSeq, a predicted model, not a curated record
AGGUGUUGCCAUGGCCAUGGCGGGAGGUAGUUGAGGUGGCAGUGUAGGUUUGGUUGUUUUGUUUUUUUAGGGGGGUAGGAGGUAGGACGGGAAGGGUGGCUGGGGUAGAAUGGUGUGGGUAGAGCUUCCUGCUGAUCUUGAGUUUGAGUGAGGUUGUUGAAGUGGCAUGUAUACUGGAUUGCUCCUUGAGGUUUGCUGGUACAGCACUGUAUCGACAUGGAUUUUCAUCACCAGGACCACUUGCUGAUGCGGAGGACAAUCUAAAAGAGGUAUUUGUCGGUGAAGUAAUGUCUUGGAAGAUUAUUUGUUUAUUAGUUCAAUAAAGUUAGAAAAAUACCUGUAAGACUGAGUUCAAUGUAAGUUUUGUUUUUUAAUUCACAUAAAACCGGAACAUGGUAAAAUGUAUUUAGCGACAGAUUUUUAUAAAUGACCUUCUGUCCUUUAAACCAAAUGUAAACAAUUUUAUAACAACUCUUUAUAUGAUGAAACAAUAAAAUUAUCAUGAUUAAUGAAAGAGCAUAUUCCAAAUUGACACAGUCUUCAUCACAAGGACCCCUCUGCCAGUUCGGAGGACGACUUGACGACGACGCAAAUGAUACCACGGCCGGACCAUCAACAGGAGGACCCCUCUGCUGGAGCGGAGGAUGACCUGGACAACGACGCCAAGGAUACCACGGCCGGACCAUCAACAGGAGAGCCCCUCCGCUGGAGCGGAGGAUGGCCCGGACAACCAAAAGGAUACCAAGACGGACCAUCGACAGGAGGACCCCUCUGCUGGAGUGGAGGAUGACCUGG